RNAcentral lists this long non-coding RNA (1746 nucleotides) under Homo sapiens (human). RNAcentral describes it as "HSALNT0214197". The record is from RNAcentral. Lineage: Eukaryota; Metazoa; Chordata; Mammalia; Primates; Hominidae.
GAUGACCUUUGUUUGUUUAAACUGUUGGAAAAUCAAUAUUUAAAAUGAAAUCUAGAAACUGAAGUGUGCCCUCUGCAGGAUCACCAGAAUGAUGGGAAAACUGAACACAAUCAACUCAUGAACUCCCCAAGGCCCUAUACAUCAAAAGGUGAAGCUGGGUCAUGAAGGUCAUGAAGGCCCUCAGUGUGCAGCCUCUGUAAACCUGCUAAAACUAUUCUAUGAAAAUGAACAGGACUAUUCUUCCUCAAACAAAGAGAUCGUGUGAUGAAGACUCACCAGAGCUGUUCUCUAUAAGCUUGAAGAGCAAUGGUAUCAGGUGCUUUUUUUUCUGAAGCUUUGGUAGUGUAACUGUAAGAGUCCUGGAAUUGGAAAAGCAAAUCCAGAAGUUGAGUUCCAUGACUUUUUUGCUGUUUGCCUUUGGACUUGCAUCAUUUAUAUUUUUAAUUCAUCGAGGAUGAGAAAAUUGAUUAACACAAAAUCUUUUCAUGUCUUUUCUGAUGAGAGACUAGCUGAAUCCAAGAAGAGAAGCCCUUGAAGAGUGUAUUCUAUUCUAGACAAGCAUUCACACAUUGGCUUCUUUGGUGCCAGAUUAAAGAAUGAAGAAAGGAUCAAAUUGAGACAUCCAGGGGGGAAGAGUUCCCUGGCAAAACUCCAAUCUGCCUGAGCACUGAGGUGGAGCCACAGAAGUCCGGGUCAUUUGCACCUGGGAGGAGCCUGGCCCCUCCUCUUCCUGUGUGGAAUCUGGGAUUUAAUCUGUGAGGAGGGAAGGCCAAGGGCAGGAAGCACAGGCUCUCACUUCACUAAGAGUCUCUGUUUCCCCUUUUUUUCCUUUAUGCCUAAUUAAUAAAUCCCAUUUUUCUCACUCUUCAAAUAGUCUUCAAGCCUAAAUUUUCAUGACCAUGGAACAAGGACCCCAUCUUUAGCUGAACUAAGGAAAAGUCCUGCAACAAAAUUCUUUGCUAAAAAUACAUGAGGUUGCCUUUUCCUUCUUAAUCUUAAAAGAAAUAUAUUUCAAUGGUUAACGUUUUAGUAAUUCAAAAAUUAUCAAGCAUUUGUUCACAACCAUAAGAUGUGCAUUGUUUUAUAUUCCUACUUAAUAAUAGACUAUAAUUGUCUAAUUAGACUGCCGAUGUUGAUCUUUGUGGCUCAUUGCAUUGAUUAUAAGCAGUGUUUUGGGUUUGUGUGUGUGUGUCAAAUUUAGGGUUUUUUUGGUAUGGCUGCUGGUUGGUGUAGCCUGUAUCCAGUAUCCUGUAUUAAUUCUAAUAUUUGCAUUUUGAACAUAUUUACAAGUUGCUAAAAUAGCAAAGCUUCGAGAUGAGCCUGGCUGAUAUGGCAAAACCCCGUCUCUACUAAAAAUACAAAAAUUAGCCUGGUGUGGUGGUGCAUGCCUGUAAUCCCAGCUACUUGGAAGUCUGAGGCAGGAGAAUCUCUUGAACCCAGAAGGUGGAGGUUGCAGUGGGCCAAGAUCGCACCACUGCACUCCAGCCUCGGUGAUAGAGCGAGACUACGUCUCAAAAAUAAAAUAAAAUAAAAUAAAAUAAAAAUAGCAAAGCUAUGUAUGGUUUCUCUGAGUUUUGUAAUUUAUCAUUGUUAACUGCAGAAAUUUAUUAUAUGAGACAUAUUAUAUGAGACAUAUAAGUGAAUUUGGAUUGGGUUUAAUUUUAUAUUUUUGAAUAUAGUUCUUCAAGAUAAAUUUUAUCUUAGACCUCAAGAAAUAAAAAUAAAAUAAAUUAGAUAUACAAACGA